Molecule: ribosomal RNA, 428 nt
Filed under: uncultured eukaryote
Lineage: Eukaryota
Description: SSU rRNA
Rfam family: Eukaryotic small subunit ribosomal RNA
Source: RNAcentral
AACAUUCCGUCGCGUCUCUUUGAGUCUUGUAUUGGAAUGAGUACAAUUUAAAUCUCUUAACGAGGAACAAUUGGAGGGCAAGUCUGGUGCCAGCAGCCGCGGUAAUUCCAGCUCCAAUAGCGUAUAUUAAAGUUGUUGCAGUUAAAAAGCUCGUAGUUGAAUUUUGGGCUCAGUCAGCCGGUCCACCUAACGGGGAGUACUGGCGGGCUGGGCUCCCCUUUUUGGGUGUCUCGGCUUCCCCUUACUGGGUGGGCGCGAGGGCCCAGACUUUUACUUUGAAAAAAAUAGAGUGUUCAAAGCAGGCUUACGCUUGAAUACAUUAAAAUGGAAUAAUGGAAUAGGACUUUGGUUCUGUUUUGUUGGUUUAAAGAACCAAUGUAAUGAUUAAUAGGGACAGUUGGGGGCAUUAGUAUUUCAGGGCUAGAGGU